AAAGAGUUAAAUAAUUAAAAAAUUUAAUGUAGCAAAAUUAUUUUAAAUAAUUAUUUAGUAAUGAAAUGUUAAUCGUUUUUAAAUAUAUCUAGUUUUUUUAGAAAAAAAUUUAAUUUUAAAUUUAUAAUUUUUUUUAUUAAAUUAAUUAAUUAAUUUAAUAAAAAAUAAUUUUUAUAUUUUAAGGGAUAAGCUUUAAAUUAAAUUUUUAUAAUAAAAAAUAUUUUAUUUGAAAAUUUUAUAAUUUAUAUUGUUAAUAAAUUUUAAUUUAUUAUAAAUAAUUUCAUAAAAAAUAAAAUUUAAAAAUUUAUAUUUAAUUUUUUAUAAAAAAAAAAUUUUUUACUAUAUAAAAUUAGUUAUAAUGAUAAAAUUAGUAUAUAAGUAUUAAUAAUAAAGUAAUUUUUAUUAAUUAAUUAAUUAAAAGGAAUUCGGCAAAUAUUUAUUUUCACUUGUUUAUCAAAAACAUGUCUUUUUGUAAUUUAUUUAAAGUCUAAUCUGCCCACUGAUGUAAAUUAAAGGGCUGCAGUAUUUUGACUGUACAAAGGUAGCAUAAUCAUUAGUCUCUUAAUUGGUGACUUGUAUGAAAGAUUGAAUGAGAAAUAUACUGUCUCUUAAUUAAUUUGUAGAAUUUAAUUUUUUAUUUAAAAAGUUAAAAUAAUUUAAAAAGACGAGAAGACCCUAUAGAGUUUAAUAAAUAGUAUUAUAAUAAAUUAUUAUUUAUUUAUAAAAUUUUUAUAAUUAAUAUUUAUUUUGUUGGGGUGAUAAAAAAAUAAAUAUAACUUUUUUUUUAAAAAAUAUACAUAAAUAAGUGUAUAAAUGAUCCAAUUUUAUUGAUUAAAAGAUUAAAUUACCUUAGGGAUAACAGCGUAAUUUUUUCUUUUAGUUCGUAUAAAAGAAAAAGUUUGCGACCUCGAUGUUGGAUUAAGAUAAAAUUUAAAUGCAAAAGUUUAAAAUUUUUG
This 956-nucleotide ribosomal RNA is filed under the name Chiasmia defixaria. RNAcentral describes it as "partial 16S rRNA". The record is from RNAcentral. Lineage: Eukaryota; Metazoa; Arthropoda; Insecta; Lepidoptera; Geometridae.